Molecule: ribosomal RNA, 429 nt
Filed under: Verrucomicrobiota bacterium
Lineage: Bacteria; Pseudomonadati; Verrucomicrobiota
Description: Verrucomicrobia bacterium partial 16S ribosomal RNA
Rfam family: Bacterial small subunit ribosomal RNA
Source: RNAcentral
UAGGGAAUCUUCCGCAAUGGACGAAAGUCUGACGGAGCAACGCCGCGUGAGUGAAGAAGGAUUUCGGUUCGUAAGACUCUGUUGUUAGGGAAGAAAAAAUGUAUAGUAACUAUAUACAAAAGAGACGGUACCUAACCAGAAAGCCACGGCUAACUACGUGCCAGCAGCCGCGGUAAAACGUAGGUGGCAAGCGUUGUCCGGAAUUAUUGGGCGUAAAGCGCGCGCAGGUGGUUUAGAAAGUCUGAUGUGAAAGCCCACGGCUCAACCGUGGAGGGUCAUUGGAAACUAAUAAACUUGAGUGCAGGAGAGAAAAGUGGAAUUCCUAGUGUAGCGGUGAAAUGCGUAGAGAUUAGGGGGAACACCGGUGGCGAAAGCGGCUUUUUGGCCUGCAACUGACACUGAGGCGCGAAAGCGUGGGGAGCAAACAGG